GCCUUCGUGGUGUAAUGGUCAGCACACUGGGCGCGUAUUCGAGAGGUCGAGGUUCGAGCCCCGGCGAGGGCA
This is a non-coding RNA of Stegodyphus mimosarum, 72 nucleotides long. The record is from Rfam. NCBI's taxonomy places the organism in Eukaryota, Metazoa, Arthropoda, Arachnida, Araneae, Eresidae.